Molecule: ribosomal RNA, 509 nt
Filed under: uncultured bacterium
Lineage: Bacteria
Description: partial 16S ribosomal RNA
Rfam family: Bacterial small subunit ribosomal RNA
Source: RNAcentral
ACGCACGCUGGCGGCGUGCUUAACACAUGCAAGUCGAACGAAGAGCGAUGGAAGCUUGCUUCUAUCAAUCUUAGUGGCGAACGGGUGAGUAACGCGUAAUCAACCUGCCCUUCAGAGGGGGACAACAGUUGGAAACGACUGCUAAUACCGCAUACGAUCUAAUCUCGGCAUCGAGGAUAGAUGAAAGGUGGCCUCUACAUGUAAGCUAUCACUGAAGGAGGGGAUUGCGUCUGAUUAGCUAGUUGGAGGGGUAACGGCCCACCAAGGCGAUGAUCAGUAGCCGGUCUGAGAGGAUGCACGGCCACAUUGGGACUGAGACACGGCCCAGACUCCUACGGGAGGCAGCAGUGGGGAAUCUUCCGCAAUGGACGAAAGUCUGACGGAGCAACGCCGCGUGAGCGAUGACGGCCUUCGGGUUGUAAAGCUCUGUUAAUCGGGACGAAAGGCCUUCUUGCGAAUAGUGAGAAGGAUUGACGGUACCGGAAUAGAAAGCCACGGCUAACUACGUG